RNAcentral lists this ribosomal RNA (504 nucleotides) under uncultured bacterium. RNAcentral describes it as "partial 16S ribosomal RNA". It matches the Rfam family "Bacterial small subunit ribosomal RNA", at positions 29 to 523 of the family's 1533-position model. The record is from RNAcentral.
AUUGAACGCUGGCGGCAGGCCUAACACAUGCAAGUCGAACGGUAGCACAGAGAGCUUGCUCUCGGGUGACGAGUGGCGGACGGGUGAGUAAUGUCUGGGAAACUGCCCGAUGGAGGGGGAUAACUACUGGAAACGGUAGCUAAUACCGCAUAACGUCGCAAGACCAAAGUGGGGGACCUUCGGGCCUCACACCAUCGGAUGUGCCCAGAUGGGAUUAGCUAGUAGGUGGGGUAAUGGCUCACCUAGGCGACGAUCCCUAGCUGGUCUGAGAGGAUGAACAGCCACACUGGAGAUGAGACACGGUACAGCCUCCUACGGGAGGCAGCAGUGGGGAAUAAUGCACAAUGGGCGCAAGCCUGAUGCAGCCAUGCCGCGUGUAUGAAGAAGGCCUUCGGGUUGUAAAGUACUUUCAGCGGGGAGGAAGGCGGUGAAGUUAAUAACUUCACCGAUUGACGUUACCCGCAGAAGAGGCACCGGCUAACUCCGUGCCAGCCGCCGCGGUAA